RNAcentral lists this ribosomal RNA (483 nucleotides) under uncultured bacterium. Its description in RNAcentral is "partial 16S ribosomal RNA". It matches the Rfam family "Bacterial small subunit ribosomal RNA", at positions 30 to 506 of the family's 1533-position model. The record is from RNAcentral.
AUUGAACGCUGGCGGCAGGCCUAACACGUGCAAGUCGAGCGGAUGAAGGGAGCUUGCUCCUGGAUUCAGCGGCGGACGGGUGAGUAAUGCCUAGGAAUCUGCCUGGUAGUGGGGGAUAACGUCCGGAAACGGGCGCUAAUACCGCAUACGUCCUGAGGGAGAAAGUGGGGGAUCUUCGGACCUCACGCUAUCAGAUGAGCCUAGGUCGGAUUAGCUAGUUGGUGGGGUAAAGGCCUACCAAGGCGACGAUCCGUAACUGGUCUGAGAGGAUGAUCAGUCACACUGGAACUGAGACACGGUCCAGACUCCUACGGGAGGCAGCAGUGGGGAAUAUUGGACAGUGGGCGAAAGCCUGAUCCAGCCAUGCCGCGUGUGUGAAGAAGGUCUUCGGAUUGUAAAGCACUUUAAGUUGGGAGGAAGGGCAGUAAGUUAAUACCUUGCUGUUUUGACGUUACCAACAGAAUAAGCACCGGCUAACUUCGU